This 465-nucleotide ribosomal RNA is filed under the name uncultured bacterium. RNAcentral describes it as "partial 16S ribosomal RNA". It matches the Rfam family "Bacterial small subunit ribosomal RNA", at positions 28 to 507 of the family's 1533-position model. The record is from RNAcentral.
GACGAACGCUGGCGGCGUGCUUAACACAUGCAAGUCGAACGGUGAACUCCGCUUGCGGGGGGAUCAGUGGCGAACGGGUGAGUAACACGUGGGCAACCUGCCCUCAGCUCUGGGAUAACUCCAAGAAAUUGGGGCUAAUACCGGAUAUGACCGCUGACCGCAUGGUCUGGUGGUGGAAAGAUUUAUCGGCUGGGGAUGGGCCCGCGGCCUAUCAGCUUGUUGGUGGGGUAGUGGCCUACCAAGGCGACGACGGGUAGCCGGCCUGAGAGGGUGACCGGCCACACUGGGACUGAGACACGGCCCAGACUCCUACGGGAGGCAGCAGUGGGGAAUAUUGCGCAAUGGGCGCAAGCCUGACGCAGCGACGCCGCGUGGGGGAUGACGGCCUUCGGGUUGUAAACCUCUUUCAGCAGGGACGAAGCGAAAGUGACGGUACCUGCAGAAGAAGCACCGGCCAACUACGUG